GGGGUGGUGGAGAUGUGGGCCGCAGAGCUGCGUGGCCGGGGCUGUGCGGAUUCCCUAAACGCCGCACUUGCGCACAGCCCCUUACGUAACUGUCAGCGCCGGGGAUUCCCUAGAGGGGGUCAUUCUAUUCAACCAUUACACACACCCGGGGCUGCUGCCGCCGCGCCGCCGCCGCCUCACAAAAUGGCGGCGCCCAUAGAGGAGCUAGCGGCCGCCUCCUCGGCCCCAUUUUGUGGGAGGCGAGAGAUCUGUCAACAUGGAAUACCUCGGCUGAGGAUGCGUCCGAGUUUGGAGAUUCUGCUUAAGGGAUGGAGCCGAGGGGACCUCAUUCAACGGAAAACGGCAGUGACUUCUAUUACCUCCACGCCUUUUUUUUUUUUUUUUUUUUUUUUUACUAUUUUCGUUUUCUCGAAGGAAGCGCCAGAAGCUGCCGGGGUAAUUUUAACUAAGGGGAGAAGGGAAAGCUUCGGCUGACUGCUCGGGGGACUUGCCGCGGCGUCUUGGUAGCUUUGGUUGCCCUUUCUCCUCCCGGCAGCUGACCGCGGUCUCGCAGAGAGUCGCCUGAGCAGCCCGGCCCGCUCCGAGGGGACGAGGACAGGGCGACGCGGAACGAAAGCGGCGGCCUCAGCCGCGCCACUUGCGCAAGCGAGACUUUUCGAUAGUUUUUAAGUGUCAGAGUCCACAGCACCGUCGGUACCCUCAUCAGGGUCGUGGGCUUGGGAAUCUCGGACGCCCAGCUCCGGGAACUCGCGGUCGGCCGGGAGCCGGAGAGCGGGGAAGCCGGGUUGCGGGGAACCGGCGAUACUAGGGGAGUCCGGCAGUCCUGGCCCGCCGGGUGGUCGCGAUCCGGACCCGGGUCCGGGAUGGUGCUGAGGGGGCAGGAGUGGCAACGAAGGCACGUACACUGGAAUUUAGGUCGUCCGAGUCGGGAUUUAGGGUUGUGUGUUGCCAGUGUCUCAGGUCAGACGUUAGAACAUCUUUUCUAGUAUGCUACUCUGCAGUGGGCAAAUCUGUUUGUCUUACUUCAUAUGGAAGGGCGGAGUGGAGGGAUGACAUUUUUUAUUUUUCAGGGGGAGGUUGCCACUUUUAAGCCACUGUUUGCUGUUAAUGUGUAUUUGUGUGUAUACACACGUGCAUAUACAGGAGUGUGUUUUGCUUUUAAGUACAAAUUUCGAAAGGUAAAGACCUGGAGUGUGAUACGUUUUAAUGAUCUUAAAAAAAAAUUAAGACGUGAUAUGUAACUGGAGAGUUGACUCUGAAAAAACAAAACAAAACCCUUUUCUGAAAAGAAGCUGUCAUCUUCAAAAUGGAGUCCUAAAGUAUAUCUGAUGAAUAGAAUUUAAAUUCAUAACAUUUUGUAUAUGCUCUAGGCAAAGAAAAAAAAACCAUAAAAUUUAAUGUAUAACAGAUUACUACACGGUCCAACUUCUCCAAAACUAGAAAAAUGUAAACCAAAAGCUAUUAAGGGUAUUUGCUUUUAAGAGGAAUGCAUAGGUUUAAGAGAAGAGGAGAUACAUCUGAUGAAACUUAAAUAUGCAUUUUGGGAAUAAUUUAUUUCAAAUGUUUUUUUACAAUGGCAGCAAUCAUUUGUAUUUCCACGAGGGAUUUUUUUUUAAGUGUUUUAUUUAGGUUGAUUUUGACCCUCGUAUUUCCUCUCUAGUGCAAAACUGCAUUUUUCUGCAGGCUACGCCUCAAUCACUAAGUUCCCUGCCUGGGUCCUCUGCCGCACCCGAUUGCUACUCCUGAUGGGUGGAUUAUCAAAAUAUAGCUUCUGGUACUGUCUGUUCCUACUGAUGUUCUUUAUAUUUAAUAAAUUUAGUUACCACUAAUCAGUCUGUACCUCUUGCAAGAAUACCCUAUCUUAGACCCCAAGUACCCAGGGAAUUUUUUUUUAUGGGAUUGCACUAACAGUAACCUUAGCGUAUAGUAUUAUAUUUCUUUGUACCAUAUUGCAUUUCCUAUAGUGGGCAGCAUAGAGCAGGUGGAUCCUGGGAAAAAAAUACUAGGAAAGUGCAACAGUUUUACAAUAUUCUGUAAUUUGAUGAUAUAAAUAAAAUGUAGUUCAUAGUUUUUGAGCAUUAAUAGAAAUUAUUCCUAUAAAAAUUACCAAUGACAAUGGAAAUUGUUGAAACUAAAUUUGUAUAGUUUACUGUUCUGAUGAGAAAUAUUCACAAAACCUUUUCGAUGUGAAAAAAUGCAGAAGUGUGGUUUUUAAUAGUAACUGCAAACCCGGAACAUCAUAAUUAGAGGUUUCUGUUAUUUUAUAUGCAUCUCUGAUUCUUAUCAUCAGUUUUAAUAUUAUUUAAUCAAGAAAUAGUAAUGUUUAAAAUGCCCUCAUUCAAGUAAACAAAAAAAUAAAUAAACCAAAUUUCAAAUCAAGCAUGUCAGUUUAUAAAAUUACAGCAGCUGAACUAAAUUGAGGAAUUGGUACAUUGAUUAAUUGGAGAAAUUUUUAGAUUUUAAGUUAUGGUUUAAAAGAAUUGGUUGAACAAGAUAUUGAACUUACAUUUUUAUUUCUUUAAAGAUGAUCUUAAGAAGAAAGCAACUGGUAAGAUAAGAAAAUGCUUUCACCACUUGUUGCUCUUGCCUGUGUCUACUGCUGUACUUUUUUAUGUGGGCUAACUUACUUGAAUCUUUGAUUACAAUAUCAAAUUAUAGAUAAAGUCUUUCUUCAGAUGGUGACUCUUAAGGAGUACUGGUAACUAAACUUUUAAAAAGUGAGGAGAUAGUUUGUUGUACUGCAGAUUUAAAUAAUUGAAAAGUAGAAGUUCUGAAUCUGCAAUUGACUGAGAUUUGAAUGAUUUGUCCCUAAAGGGUCUGAUAAAUCUUGGGGGAUUUUUUUGUUGUAGUUUCUUUUCAAUAGAUAUUAAAGGCUAUGCUUUGUACAUAAAUCUAGUGCAGUUUGUUAAAAACAAAAGAUAAUUUCCAACUAUUAAAGACCUUUUAAUAAGACUUAAUAAUUAAAAAAUCAUAUUUUAACCAAUUACAGUUUUCUUUCGAGAGCCAUCCGUAAGUGUGCUUUUGACAGGGAGUUCUCAUUAAUUGUUUAGGUCAGUUAACUAAUCUUGAAUUUUUAAAAUUGUUAUGGGUUUAGUGUGCUACAUUUGUGCAUUAUUAUUUAUUUCAUCUAAUUUGAUCACUGAAAAGAACAGUAGGCCCCAAACUGUUCUUUAUAAAGUAUCACAGUUUAUAGUAGCUUAACACUUUGUUUAUAGUAUUUAAUAACUUAACGAAAACUAGGAGAGCAUAAAUACUAAACCAAGGAUAUAUUUAUUUUUAUCAAUGCAGAUUACUAAAUCACUGAAUAAAUAUUUAUUGAAUGCCUACCUUGGGUAAAAGAUAGGAGGGCAAGAGAAAGUGACUUGGCUCUCAAGGAAAUUAUACUCCAGUACUAGAUUUUUUCUUAACUGCUAGCUUUAAAAGAUUAUAAUGAACUAUUCAGACCAUAGGGUUCUUAAUUUUUAAUACUUAAGUAGGAUAUGUAGCACAGAGUUAAAUUCAAAAUUCUAUUUAAAAUAGAGACAUUUAAAUAUAAUUAUGUACAAAAUAGCAUUACAUUACUGUUAGGAUCAAUGUAAGAUUAAUGUUAUUCAAAGUGCUGUAAAAAUAUUAAUAACAGCAUUUAAAUCACAUCCUUUGAAAACUCAGAUCCACAAAAAAUAUGAUUCCAGUAAUUAACUUUUUAAUUAUGGGAGAAGCAAGGGGGUGUAAAAAAUAUACUCCUGAGCAAACGAACAGGAAUUGUUUUAAUGAAAUUUGAUUUUCUGUUUCAAUUUUUUGGUACAUUGACUCUUCUGACAUUGCACUUUGCUAUUAAUUUAAAAAAAUUAAACUCCAAAGACACAUUAAUUCUGUAUUUAAUGCAGAUUUAAUUCUUGACUAGAUGUAAAGCUUAAAGAAUUGGCAGUCUUGUUGGUGAAACAAUAAAAUAGGAAUUAAGCCAAGAUGCAAAACUAUGUAAUAAUUAGGUUUUAUAAAUAUAUAUAUACAGGUUUUCCUUUGUAGCUAUAUGAAUCAGAGUAGUAUUGACUUAAUAAUAAUUUAGUUUUUGUUUUUCUCUGAAAACAUACCACAAACUACAUAUCAAAAUAGAAAGUCAACCAGGGCCGGUGUAAAUUAUUGAGGCUUAUUGUUAAGGGAAAUUCUAACCAACAGCUCAAUGGCAACAAUUUUUUAAAGGUGCCACGGUACUUUGAUGUAAUUCAUAGGAUAUAGAACUCAAAAAUAUUCUAGAAUCAUCUUCAUGUGAUAAUGUACAUGAGAAAUCCUUCUAAUAUGUUCUUUGGGGGUAUAAAAUAACUGAUUUAUUAUUUUAUAGGUAGCUACAAUGCUUGCAGGUAUUUUAAACAUAGAUGAAAAUUUUAGGAGUGUUGUACUAUAUCUUAUAACCUAAUUUCCCUCUUAUUAAUAAUACUGAUAUUAAACAGCCAUUAGUCAUUAUUGAUAGCCUAAAUAAAUAUAAGUGUAGGUCCUGUUCUAAUGUCUAGUAAUUUUAACUGCAUUGAAAGAUAGACUGCCUCAAGGUUAAUGGAGGGUUAAACAAUGGUUCUCUUCUUUGGGAGACUGAAAAGAAGCUUCCCACUCUUUAGGAAAUGCUGGAAUUUGCUCUCUUCCCACUGAACUAGAUCCAUCCUUGACAUCGCCAUUUGCUAACCUCAGUUGUUUUUUCUGCUCCAUUAAAGUUGGGGCCACCAAAAAUAGUAAUGGUAUCAGACUACACCACCCUGGGUGGGUUUGUGCCCACCGCCGAUACUCUCCUUCCUACCUUAUCCUUGUUCUCAGUGUCAGUUUCUAAAGAGACUUUUGUAAUAUUACUUUUAGUAUAUUACUAAACUGGAUAAGAGAAAUAACUUGUCUAUAUAUGGUGUUCAAAGAGUCCACUAACCUUGUGAAACAAUGUGUUUAUUCAUUCUUCUAGGGAAAGGGUCUCAGCAGGCAUGGUCAUCUUAAAGGGCCCUGUAAUACCCAAAAAGCUAAAGUUCUGUUUGCUAAAGGCUCAGGCACUGCUUUUUAUUUUGUGUGGGAGCCUCAAGGGAAAGACAUUUUGAAACUUUAGUUAAGGAAUACCAUUGUAGUUCAUCAAAUUACAAGAAUUGCAGCAAACAAGGGGUGCCUGGGUGGCUCAGUCAGUUGAGUGUCUGACUCUUGAUCUUGGCUCAGGUCUUGAUCUCAGGGUCAUGAGUUCCGGCCCCACAUUGGGCUCCACGGUGGGCUUGGUGCCUACUUAAAAAAAAAAAAAAAAAGAAUUACAGCAAACAAAUAUUUCUAAAGAAGAAUUAUAGAUUUUUAAAGAAAGUGUAAUUAAAUGCAUUUAACCAUCUUUCAAUUUGUCCUCUACUGAAAAUUAAGUGGAUAAGAAAUUAAAUUAAUUCAAAAUGGGUCCCAAAUAUAAUUCUUCAACUAACUAAGUGGGAAUGUCUGGGGAUAUAUAUGCAUUUAUUAUAAUUGCAUACAUAGUAGUGUGUGCUUUGUGUUCCUGGGUGACAUUGAUCAGAAUGUUUCCAGUGAUGUGACCAAGUCACACUGCAGUCUUCUUGUUCUCCUUUGUGCUUGUUGUUCUGCUCCUCUUUGCUGCAGUUUCUGAGGAAUGUGCCUAGGAGUAGGCCCAGGCCUUGCUUUUGUAGAGAUCUGUCAACAGGGCUACUUUAUCUCAUAGCAGGUUCUCGUAGCUUAUCUGUGGGCCCAGUGUAUGAUAAUUGGAACUUCAAGGAUACUAGUCUGACUGCAGUUCAUCACAACCUUUUUUAAAAAUGCUAAACUAUUUGAGUCCUAAACUCUGCAUAUUCUAAAUUGUUCCGUGGAUAUUAGAAAUACGUUAUUUCUGUGCCCUUUUUUGUCUAUAGAUCCUUAUAUGCAUAAUUAUUAUUUAAAAUCUAUAAUUCCAUGCAUUGUCUGUGAGGGUGGGGGAAGGGUAGCAUCCCAUCAUGUUUUACAUUAACAAUAAGAUUUUGGCCCACUCCCUACUGAACCAGCGAAAAAGGGCAUGUUUGAGAGAAAAUAUGUGCUUUACUCAGACUCCAAUAAUUAGGCUGAUGCACUUGAUUUAUGUUACACAUUGAGCUCAUUCUUAAAAGGUAAACAUUUUACAGUAUGCCUCCUGGCUCACAAAUCAGUGCUUUUUCUACUAAACAUUCCUUCUGUCUUGCUAAUAAAAUCCAGUUUCCAGAAUCAUAGUUAGUUGCUAAGCAAAUAUGCAUAAAACCAUAAAUUUAUCCAAAUCAUUUAUUAUUUAAAGAGUAGUAUAUAAAUGUUUAAACAGAAGUCAUUGAUCAGUGAAAGCGACAGAAAAUAAGCAAAAUAAAAAUAGAAUUACGGUAGAAUAAGCUAAAAGACCUUACUUUAGGGAAUUGUUGGGAAAACUGACCUCAAAUAUGAGGUCUGGGGCUUCUUAGGCAAUAUUUUAUCUUAAAUUAGAAUCUGUAGGAAUCCCCUUAUCACUUAUUCUUUCUUUGCUAAUGUGUACUACUUAUUAACCAGGUAAGAACAUUUGAAAUGAAUCUUUAAGGCUACAACUUAUAUAACAUAAAUAUUACUGCUACAUAUGGACUAACAGUUUUAGCCUCAUUGCAAUACCUUGAACGGUUUUUGUAACUGCUAAAUGCCCUAUAAAAGGCUACCAACCCAUGUAAAUAGGUCUUAGCUCUUAGUCUGGUACAGCUUGGCAAAUUCUUUUUGACAUAGCUUGAAUUGCCAGGAAUGUAGGGUAAUCAUUCCUUGCCAAUGAACAUACAUCCUUUGCUGUUGAAGGUGAAAUCUGAGCCAAGUAAUUCUGCAGGACCUAGUGCAAUGGCCAUCCGCUCAGCAGAUUCAGAGAAGCAGUCUUAUUGAUCUCUUAUUUUACUAAUUUUUUAUCUUUCUGAGAUUGUGUAUGACCUCACUUGGAAUGUUAUUUCCCUAAACCAUUGUGCUUCACAGAUGUAAAUAUUUCCCAUUGGGAAAUACUGGAAGAUACAAAGCCAGGCCAAAUGUAUAUGACCAUGAGUGUGCAUGAGCUUGACAAGUGAAAUAGUUAUCUUUGAAAUCAUCAUACUCUUUUCCUUAAAGUCAAUUUAAAGAGGUUUCGGGGCACCUGGAUGGAUUAGUUGGUUAAAUGUCUGACUCGAUUUUGGCUCGGGUCAUGAUCUCAGGGUCAUGGGAUCCAGCCCUGACCUAUUGACAGGCAAGUUAGGUGCUGUCUUCUGGAGAUUUUAGUUAUUUCAUGAUGGAUUCUCUUGGAACAAGUCUGGAAGGUUUUUCAGACAUGUAUGACAUAUGAGGUUGAAUUCUCCUGACCAGAAGACCAGGGUUAGGAUAGAAGGCCCACCAGCUAUCUAGAUAGACCCAGCACUACCAAGAGUUAUCUGUAAGCUGCUUCUACUAGUCUGGUGCUUUAAGUGGGAAGUGUUCAAGAGUUCAAGAAACUCUCUUCUAUACGUUGUGUCUAUAAGAAACUAAAAAUAAUAGGAAAUCUUUUGAUGGGUGAGAUAAUCAUUUUAAAACAUCCAAGACAGGAGACUUUGAACCUGACAAAUAGGAAUAUUUUAAAAGGUCCCCUUAGGUGAGGUUCAGGUUACAUCUUCCACUAAGGAACUUAGAUGGAGAUAAGGUGGUAAAUACUUGGAAAUCUUAUAGGCUGUUAAUAUUUUUUGAGUUUAAAAAACAUCCAGUCUGGUUGCUGAAGAUUUCUUAAAAAUGGCCAAUAUGCUUGGGCACUUUGAUUGUUUCUUUAGAAUCCCAUCUAGAUGUUAUACUGUCCCUAUUGUUUCUAGGUGGGGGGACAACAGUUUUGAAUUGUCAGUAGGACUUUAUAAACUUCUUUAUAUCUUUAUAUCUUCUUUAAAUCGAUCAGAAAAAGGGUAUUUCCUGAUUAUUACUAGACAAAAUGAUACUGUGAAGCUUUAGCAAUAAAGACUUGCCAACAGUCAUGUCACUCUUGCAUAUAAGUAUGUUUCUACGUAUCCUGCAAAGGUACACAUAAUCACUGAAACAUACUCUUGUGAACAACACAUACAAUAUUAACCUGAAUAUUUGCAGGGGACUUCUUAGGGGGAUGAUUUUAUUUAGUUAGUUUGCAGCCUCAUCUUGAAAAACAGUAACAUCUGAAUGAGUUAACAGAGGAAACCAGUUGGUUGAUAAAUGUAAGAGUAACGAUGCCUGUGAACAAGAGGUCACGACAGCCUUAGUUUAGUAAUAGCCACAGCUCAAGACCAUAAGGACUCCUAGAUAUUUUAGUUCCUCCAGAAGUAAGGAACCUUUAUUGUUAUUACAGUUAUCUAAAAGAACUACCCAAAAGCUUCAGGAGAAUCAAUCAGUUGUGAUGUUUGAGAAGUAAAAGUAUAAUCUCAGGUAAGAACAGCACCUUCUGCCAACUAGGAAGAAUAUGGAGAAAGGAAAAGUUUUUACAACUUUGUGUUGAAAGCAGACUGCAUAUGCAGAGACCAAUUUAUGUUUUUCUCUGAGCCAUCAGUUCCCUCUUCUACACUUAAGUGUCUGUUUUGGUCAUAGCACCUAUGUAAACAAGAUAAGUUGGUGAAAACUCUUUAAAUAAGAUACACAUAAACGGAGAUGUGUGUGUGACCCUAUAUUUGCAAGGGAUGUGCCAAUGAUUUUGUUCUCGAAAUAAGUUUGCAAAAAAACUUUCAGAAAUCAAAAUGUUACUUUAAGUAUUAUUAACAAGGCCACAAAUUACUAAGACAAACAGAAUUAUAAUCAGAAUUACAGCCUAUAUAAGUUAUGCUAUUUUCACAGGGUAUAGCAACACUGAAGCCCAAGUGUCUAACAGGACUACUUUUUAAAAAAUCAUAUUUGCAAAGGCAGUUUUAUCAUAUAGAGUAGAAUUUUAUCUGCUUUUCUGCAGCUACGGGGAAGAGAGCACAUGAUUUCUUCAUUUAAGCUUCCUAACUUUUUUUCAAGCCAGCAAAUAGAAGUGCCUAAGUACUAAAAUUCCAUUAGUUAUUAUUAAGAGAGAAGAACAGGUACAAACUUAAAAUUCAAAAAAGAGCAGAAAGAUAGUGAAUGUUAACAAAUGGAAUAUGGAGCAUGUAACAUCUUGUCUCUACAUGUAAUAACAUAAGUAAAGUUUAUCGCAGGUUAAGAUGUUUAUUUGAGAGAGUCUAAACAGUGUAUUUACAUAAGGUAGACUUUAGUAAAAGGCUUAUAUAUUUAAAUCACCUGUUAUUAAAACUUUAUGAAUAUUUUUAGUCUUUAUAAAACAGUUUACAGUUACAGAUAGUUUUCCAUGGUUUGGGAACGCUAUUUGUUAUUUUCUUCCUAUCCCUUGACCCAUCCAUCAAAUUAUUUUUGUAAUUACCAAGAAUUUGCAAACAGAGGCUCUAUUUUUCGGGUAUUUUCUGAAACUGUGAAAAGUGUUAAAAAGUUUGUGUUUUCAGUGCUUUAGGAAAUAUUUAGGAAUACAUUUUUUAAAUUGUAUGCAAAUCAGCAUUUUUCAGAGUGUGCCAUGAUCUGCUUAUAGGUUAUUAGGAGAAAAAAAAAAGCAGUUACAUAAUUUUGGAAAGUACCAAGUUAAGCAAAGUUAUAAUUCUUUUUCCAUAAGACUUCUCAGGGCCUUUCAGAUCCUCCUAUUUUAUCCUGUGGGUGUUUCCUAUUUUCCAAAUAAACCUGGCCUUCUGAUACAGUUGAUAGUCUAUCAAAAAUACUGAAAAGUGGUCUAAACUUUGUUAAAAAUUGAACACAAAUGUCAAAAACAAGAGGUGCUGAUUCUGUGUUUGAGUGUGAGCUUAUUGAGGGCAAGGAUCACUAUUCUUUGUAACCCAUAUUGCAUAAAACUAAUGUAAUAUGCUAAGUAUAUAUUAUUAAAUAAGUUAAUACAGAUCUAAUAACUCUUGAAAGUCCCACUUUUAAAGUCUAUCCUAAUUAAGCUUCUGAUUUGCUAAAGUUAAUUAUAUAAAAUAACAUAUAUUUUCUUAUGUGUUAUUUUUUCUUCAUACCUGAAAGAACUAGAAUAUUUUUAAAUGGUCUAUUUUAUAGUUUUAUAUUUAGGAUGGUGACCAGUUAUUUUAUCUCUGUUGAAGAGAUGUAGACCUAACCACAUAAUAGAUCUGUUCAUAAACCAUGAAGCACUUCAAAAUUGCUAGGUACAGAAAUCAGAAAAUUUACUCACACCUACAUUUCAUUUCACCCUAACAUUUAUUCCUCUGGGAAUCUGAAACUUUUCUCAUAUCCUUCUUUAGUCUUGCUCCUACCUCCCAAGAAAACAAUUUGUCUAUGUUUCCGUUCCUUUCUUGAGUCCAAAUAAUUUACCAGAAUUCAUGGAAUCCCCUGCCAUUUCCUAUUGCCUCAUUAAAGAUCUUCUCCCAGUGUUUUCCCAUUAGAUUUACUUCCUCACUUACCAGAGGCUCCUUGGAGGUCUUGAGGAUUUUUUGGAUGUGCUAAAGAGUACUGAGUACACCUAAUCCAAAAUGAAGAGACUUCAUUGCUAUGCUAGUUGUAAUAGGUCCUCACUCUAGAGGGAGGACAUUUUGGAGCAUCUCAGUUACAAAACAUGGUGCAUAUUUAUAGGGAAUCUAGUGAACAUUGUCACCUUUUUUAUUAGAGAAAAGGGAAAUUUGAGUGUUUCUUGGAGAUUUAGGGGCCUUUAAGGUACUCAAAGAAUUUUGUAGAUUUCAGCUGGAGAUGUAGUUGAUACUAAAGACCAUAGCCAUAAUAUAGUGUCAGGAGCAAAUAGGAAAAAGAAAAAUAUAUGAACAAGUUCUUUGAAUUAAAAAAAAAAAAAAAUGGGAGGGGCACCUGGGUGGCUCAGUCGUUAAGCGUCUGCCUUUGGCUCAGGUCAUGAUCCCAGAGUCCUGAGAUCGAGCCCCGCAUCGGGCUCCCUGCUCAGUGGGGAGCCUGCUUCUCUCUCUCCCACUCCCCCUGCUUGUGUUUCCUCUCUUGCUAUGUCUCUCUCUGUCAAAUAAAUAAAUAAAAUCUUAAAAAAAAAAUGGGAAAGAAUAUUACUAUCUGUCAUUAAAUUAGUUUCAAAAUAGACACAUUUGAAUGUCAGGCAAAACAUAGGUUUUCUUAAUUGGAUUAUUCUUUUUAGAGGACACUUACUAGGUAGUGUGAAAGUUAUAUUUUAAUGAUUUAGGCAUCCAUUUUGCAGAAUCUUGUAAGAAUUUCCUGUGUAAGAAAGAACCUUUUAACAAGGGCUAUUUGAUAAAAAAUGUUUCUAAUGAAAAUUACAAGAUUUCCUGCCUUGAUUGCCUUUUAAAAUAAGAGCUUUUCCUGGAGUAGCUUAAAUGAAUCUGUCUUAUCUUGUAAAUAACAGGAGAGUUCCCUAAUGCCCCUUAGAACCAGAUGUUUCAUUGCUGUUUUCUUCUAUCUCCAUUCAAACUACAGUUUAUGGAAGGCUAUCAGCCAGACAACAUGCUAAGAUGGGAAACUUUAAAGAAGGUACAGGGCCUGCCUUAAAGUUUUAGAGUUCAUGAGUGAUGGAAAGAGUGGACAUAGAAAUAGAUUAUAGUAGAUCAAGGAGUACGAUGGAGGUGUUGACUUUGCCUGGAGAAAUCGGAGAGCUAUAUAGAAUAAGGGAUAUUUGAGUGUAUCUUAUAAGAGUGUUCAUAGUUGGUGGUGGAGAAGGGAAGGCUUGGGUAUUGAAAGACUUAAAGGCAUGAAAAUAUAUGGCACAUUUUGGGAAUGGUGACUAGUCCACUGUGGGUGAGCCCAUUUCUGGCUUACUUAGGCCAGUCUGGGAGAAGCAUAUAUGAUGUUAUGGAAUUUGGGCUUUUUUCCCUCAAGACUAUCAUUCUCAGCCAUUUUCUUUUGCCACAUAAAUGAUAGAUGUACGUAUAUGCAAAGAGAUGUGAAUUCCUAGGCUCUCGCUUUUCCUGCAAUCAUUUCCAUCCCAUUCAAGCUAUAGGAAUACAAGAAAGGAAAUUUUAUUAUUAUAGAGAAUUAUAGAGAUAUACAGACUUGACUUUUUAAAAUGUGUUUGACUUACAAUUAUUUGUGCACAACUGGUAAAAAUGGUUAUCUUGACUUAGGUUUAGAACAGAACAAUAUAAUAGGAGACUGGAAAUGAAGCUUGAGGAUGGAUUUGAGAAAUCAUGGGGAAGUACAGUUGUGAGGACAAGGGUAAUUUCCAGGACUCAUCCAUACUCUGCAUGGGUCAAUUCUAGUAAUACUGCUUUCAUAUUCCCCUUCUUCACACACUCUUUGUCUUGCUGUCUCACAUACACACACUAACUACACAUCUAUUGCCUCCACAUUUUUGUGGCCACUACCUCAUCACUACCGUUCUCCCAUAAAUCAGGACAUUUUUCAGUAGCUGUUUUGACAUGGGGUCAUGUCUCUUUGAAAUGGCUGCUUAAAAAUAACACAUUUUAAAAAAAAUUAAUAGGUAUGCAGCAGAUAUCCUUGGCCCUCAUAUUCCUUAUCCUUGACCAUCUCAUCCUUAUCCAUCAUUUAGAUGAUGAAGUACAAUUUAGAGAUGUGAGGCUAAGUAAGAUUAUCUGUUGUACAUAUUACUUGGUAUACUUGGUUAAAAACAAAACAAAAACACCUUUUAGGCAUCUUCACAAUGUCCCUUGCAUCAAAAGAAAUACUUCAGAAUGUUAUGUACUACUUCAGUAACAUCUUUUCCAAAAAGAUGAGUACUGAUACUUAUUUUUCUCUUCCUCAUUCAGAGGCCCAUUUUUCCUCCAAAUUCUCCGCUAAUAUCCCUUUUAUGCACUCACUCCAGCUCUCUGUUAUCUUUCAAGAGAACAACACCUGAAAUUGCCUGUUGAUCCUUUGUGUAGAUACACCAGGCUUCGGUACAAAAGUAGAACGAAGCUUUCUGGUUCUUAUAUUCUUAAUGCUAAACAGCUUGGCUGGUAUUUAGAUUUUAAUAUCUCAAUGAUUUGGUGGUUUCAGACAAUGAUUUAUAAUGACUGAUAGUUCACAGUUCAUCAUAAAAUAUAGAGCUUAGAGAUCAGCUAAUCAUACCUACACAUUUUAUAAAUGAGAAAAUGGAGAUCAAGAGCACUUAAAUAUUUAUUCCUGAUAAUACACAAGUUAGGCCUAGAAUGUCUCUUGAUUCUGUGCCAGUGUCUUAUGUUUUCUUCCCUUUCCUUUUUCUUCCCUUUCCUUUUUCUCUAAUUUUGAAUUGCAUAAUAUAUCUAUAUUUUUCUUGUAAAAAGUUAAAAUAUUGGUAGCUUAAGGGUUUGCCCCCAGAAUCACAGCCUUCUCCCUAGCAGUAACCACUGUUAACCACUUUGAUGUAGGUUCUAUUAGCACUUUUUUUUUACAUUUGCUUAUGUAAGUGUGUGUGUGUGUGUCUGUGUGUGCAUAUAUGUUACCUAAGUGGUAUUUUUUCUAUUAGUGAAUUUUUCAGUGUACCCAGUCAUCAUGUAAGCAUAGUUGGAUUACUUUUUACAAAUGUGUACUUUGCACUGCACACAGGGACACAAAUCUGCUGCUUAUCUGUCCUUUUCCUUUAGCCUCAUUCAAUGUUUGUCCAUUUAUUCAUUCAAUUAAUAUUAAGUGCUCAUUACAUACUACCUUCCAGGAUUUUAUAUUACACUUACAAAAGUAAAACAUGUACAAAGAUAACUAAUAUUAAAUAUCAAGUUCCAUUAAAGAUGUAUAAGAGAUCAUUCUGUAUAUCUCAUUACCUGGAAGAUCUGAAUAGCAUAGGAAAAGAAUUUUAAAUAUAUUAUAGAAAUUCUUUGAUGUCAUUUGUUAAAUUCAAUGUUUGUUUAGCUUAAAAGUAUUUUGACAAGACUCCACUUCAGCUGACCAUAACUGGAGUAUUAGAGCAUCAUAACUGAGACCUCAACUAUUUUUGAAUUUAUGUAAGCCUAAGGCAUAGCUUUAAAUUGUCUGUCUUAACAGCUUUUUUUUUUUUUUAAACUUCAGAGCCAGGUAGAAUUGCAGAAGCUAACUGCAACCAACAGUCAUCCACAAUAAAAACAUUGUCAGUAAAAACAUAUACUUGUUUUAGAAUUGGGUCAGACAUGAGCAAGUGAGAAACAAAAACUUCUGGGUGUUGAUUGAUUUGAAAGUUUGCUCUCACUACUCCCUGAUUCAGUUAUGGCAUCUGGAUAUCUGAGCAGAGGAAAUCCUGGAUCUUGUGACUUAAAGAACAGAAUCUAAAUUCAGAUCUAACCAUGUACACAGAGCGCCUACUUGUGCCAGGCACAUUCACAUAUGAGGUUUCAUUCAGUCACUCCUAGAUGAUUGAAUCAGCUCUAAAAAGUUAAAAUGAUUUUACUUGAAAUGAGAUUAAUGUUCCCUGAGACCCAGCACUAUAAAAUAAUUAUUUUUCCAGCAUGGUCAUUUAUUACAGCUAAAAGGAAAUGUUAAUAAAACAUUUGGAUAUUCCUCAUAUGCUCCUCAUUUAAAGUGAACAAAUUUAUAGCUCUUUCAAUAUGAUCAAACCCUACAGUUUAAAUCCUUUCUUUUGUAAUUAUUAUAAUUUACAAUAAUUUUAAGAAUAGUAAAUAUUUAAAUAUAGAAGAAUUGUCCAAAACUAAAAUAGGAAUUCUGGAUCUUACCAGCUCCAGAACUAGUUUAUUUUGAAAUAUUGAGUGAACAAUUGCAGAUUUCUAACCUUAUUUCUCUUUUAAAUAGGGAAAAAACUUUCUACUGAAUAUGGUAGAUUGAAUUGCCUAAGAACCCUAGGUACAAGAUACUGUAUAAGUUUGAAGUGGGAACUGCUUAAAGUAUACCCUGCAGGGAAGUGGUUUAGGUUGAAAGAUGUAAAGUGGGCAUAAAGAACAUUCAACCUCAUUGGACUUUAAAAAGGUAUUCUCUUGCUGGGAGUGACAAGCCUUUAAGAACCAUGUUCUUAAAAACAAAUAUUGCUCUUCAUAAUUCUUUUAGAGAAAAAAACAUGGAUGUUUGUAUGUGAUUCCCAUGUAUUGACUCUACAGUGGCAGACAAAUCAUCUCUUUAUCAUUUGGAUCUGAAGUGUGUCAAGACAUCAAAUGUUAAUUAGGGUCUUUGUGUUUCUAUGUUUAAAAGCAUGGAACAUAGGGGUGCCCAGGUGGCUCAGUCGAUUAAGUGUCCGACUCGAUGUCAGCUUAGGUCAUGAUCUCAGGGUCAUGAGCUCAAGCCCUGUGUUGGGCUCCGCACUCAACAUGGAGUCUGCUUGAGAUUCUCUACCUCUCCCUCCGCCCCCUCCCCCAUUCAUGCACAUAAACACUCUCUCUAAAAUAAAUAAAAUCUUAAAAAAAAAAAAAGCAUGGAACAUAGCUCAAAAAAAAAUAGUCUGAUUCUCAAGGUCUUGCACCAAAGCUAAAAAAAAAAAAUAAUAAACAUUGGUAAAUCAAUUUGAAUAUAAAACAUGUAAAAUUCAGUUAUAACCCUUUCUUACAUAUUUUGCUAUUCUGUGACCUAAAUUUAAAAUCUUGUCUGUAACUGUAAAAAUGUUAAUAUGCAGUGUUUAAUAUUAUUUAUACUAGGUUAGGAAAAGUACCAUGGAAGAAAAAGUCAAUAUUUUAAAUGAGAUGAAGACUGCUUGGUAUACAUGGAAAGAGAUUAUUUUGUUUUUUUGAAGGAAUGGAGAGGGAAAGACUGAGAAAAAGAAGAGUUUGCCAAUAGACUUGAGAGAGGUAAAGGCAGGAGAGAAAAUAGGUGAUAUUGAAGUUUUUAAGAAGAAAAAAUAAUUGAUAUGAUACCUAAGAGAAACUUGUAGUUAGUAGUUUUUAUAUGCACAGAGGAGAAAGGAAAGCUGGAAGCCAGUGAGGAAAUGGUACCAGUUGAUAACAAUAUAACAGGUAUGGGGAAUUUAGGUAAUAGGACAUUGAGAAAGGAAUAGAUCUUUAAAGUGCUAUGGAAUUACUGUCAAAAAUUACUCCAAGGUCCACUGUCUAGUACCAAUGACCAAAGAGCCCAGCACUUCAAGAUACAGUGACUGUAAUGCUAUCUCAUGAAUUUUGCCAUUUCCUGACUUCUUCCUAUCUUUUUCGGAUAACUCUAUCUAAAAUAUCUUAUUAUUUAUCUCCUACUCCCAUACUGCAUUAGAAUAUAAACUCCAUGAGGUUAAGAAUUUCUCUGUCUCGGGGCACCUGUGUGGUUCAGUCAUUAAGCGUCUGCCUUCAGCUCAGGUCAUAAUCCCAGGGUCCUGGGAUGGAGCGCCCCGAGUCGGGUUCCCUGCUCAGCGGGGAGCCUGCUUCUCCCUCUCCCACUCCCUCUGCCUGUGUUCCUCUCUCGCUGUGUCUCUGUCAAAUAAAUAAAUAAAUAAAAUCUUCAAAGAAUUUCUCUGUCUCUUUUUACAACUGUAUCCUCAGUGCCUAGGAUAGUAUAUAAAAAAAAAUGAAUUCCAGAUUGAACCAUCAGUGUGUUGAAAUGUAGCCUCUCAUUUCAAUAUUUAGGAUCAAUAAAUGAAAAUCAAAUAACUUAAAUUUGGUAGGGACCUCAGAGGUCAUACAGCCACUGUUUCUUCCACUAUCUGUGGGGUCUUUUUUUUUUUUUUUAAGAUUUUACUGACUUGACAGAAACAGCGAGAGAGGGAACACAAGCAGGGAGAGUGGGAGAGGGAGAAGCAGGCUUCCCGCCAAGCAGGGAGCCCGACGUGGGGCUCAAUCCCAGAACCCCGGGAUCAUGACCCAAACCCAAGGCAGACACUUAACGACUGAGCCACCCAGGCUCCCCAUCUGUGGGAUCUUUGAGGGAGAUUUUUACUAGUCUGAGUCGUGCCUUAGGUUUGAGAAUGACAGUUGUGAUUUAGUGCUUUUCUCCUCUUUUCCUUUCUCCAUUUCUCUUUUUUGGGGCUCCAAAGUAGAUAAUUUAACUAGUUUUUCCAUGUAACAACACUGAUCUGGUUCAGAUCCCCGAAUUAAUGCAGGAAUUCCUUAUAUGGCAUAUAGUUCCAUGGGGCCCUUCUAGGAGUAAAGAUUACACUGUCAGGGUGUGUGCGUGUGUGUGUGUGCAUGCACAUAUAUGCACGUGUGUUUCAUCCAAGAAAUACUUACUGAACAGCUUUUAUGUGCAAGACUAAGGAUAUAAUGUGAUGAAAGAUACGUAUUCCCUGCUCCCACAGAGCUUACAGUGUGGUGGAAUUUUACAAACAACAAAUGAAGUCUCUAAACUCUUUCCCUACCUUGUCUUUAUUCUCAAAGUUGUUUAGAAAGAAAAGGCAGAUUAAUGAGAAUAAAUCAAGAACCAUGGGAGUUAAACUUCCAAUGAAUGGUAGUAAGGGCAAAUACCCAUUUUUUAGUUUGCAGGGCCUUUAAAUUCAAUCCAGUUCAUUCAAUAAACACCUGCUGAGCAUCUCUAGCCCUUGGCUAGAUUCUGAAAAAUGAAAGCAAAGUAUGACACAGCCCCUAUUCACAAGGGAGAAAAAAGGCAAAUGUAUACUCUUCAGUGUUUUAAGUGCCACAUGUAACUGUCUUUUGAGUGAUCCAUUUCAUUGGACAGUUUUACCUAAUACAAAAUCAUUCAGACUAAAUUAAAAUCUGCCUCUAUUUAAUUUCUGUUUUCUGGUUCCAGUUUUGUUCUCUGCUCUUCAUUCAUUUAUUCAACCCAUAAACAUUUUGGGGGGAACCACCAUGUGCCAUAUGUCAACAGGUUUUCUUCAUAAACAAAUAGGACAGGUCCUUGUUUUCAAAAAGGUUAGGAUAUAAUUUUGUGACUGAGGAAGUUGCUUAACCUAUAAGCUCAGUUUCCUCCCCUGGGAAUCAAAGAUAGUAACAACUUCUUAGGAUUGUUGUGAGGAUUAAAUGAAUAAUGCAUGCAAUGCACUUAAUACAGAGCCUGGUACACAGCUUUCAGCAAAUGUUAGCUAUUAUUAUUGGUGCGUUUAAAGAAGGAUCCCAAUAGUAAAUUUAGUGGUUGCAUGGUUGAUAUGAAUGCCCUAACAGAAGUAAACCCAAAAUGCUACAGGAAUAAACCAGAGAACACCUAACCUUGUCUGGAGAAGCUGGGGAAACACCCUGCAGGAGGAGACAUCUGAACUGAGUAUUGCAGGACUAAAUAGUGGGGGUAGGAAGGGCACAGAGAAAAGUGAAAGAGCAUAGUGCAUUCUGGGUACUUCAGUUUAGACGCUACUUUGGGAAAGCUACAAUAUGAAUGGCUUUGGAUGCCAUGCUAAAUAAAAAUGUGUCAUGAAGAUAAUGGGGAACUAUUGAAAGCAUGCUGCACAAUUAAACUUUCUAAAUUAGGGCAAUGAUGUAGGAGAGUAGAAGACUGAAGAGAAAAUUAGGACUUGAUGACCAACUAAAUGCAAACGUAGGGGGAAAGGAAGAGAAGGUGUCAAAGAUAAUUUCUAAAUGACUGUGUUGAGUGAGUGAAAGGCAAUGACAUAGGGAGAAUGGGGGCGCUGUAGAUAAGUUCAAUUGCAGACAUGUUGAGUUUGAGGACCGCUAGGCACUUGAAUAUUCAGAUCAGGAGUUUAGAACUGGUCUAGGGCUACAGAUUUGGGAUUUGUCAACAGGUGUCAGUUGAAGCCAACAUGUAUAUACUAGGUAGAGGAAAGCCAACAUUAAGGGGUGAUCAAACAACUCAAAAAUUGAUUGAAAAUUUCCAGGCGUGUUAGAGGAAAAUCAAGAAAUAGCACUAUCCCAGAAACUGAGGAGAGAGUUGUAAAGAAGUUAACAGUCACCAGUACUGUGAGGAUAAGAAAAAAUUGUUCUUUGGAUUAAGCAACUAGGAAGUCAUUGGGCAAGAGCUAUUUCAGUAGUGAAGGGACCAGAAUGUAGAUUGCCAGAGAUUGUGGUGUGGAUAGGAAGUGAGUGCAGAAGACAUUGCCUGCAGGCCCCCUUUUCAAAAGCUGUGAAGAGCAGAGGAGAGAUAGUGUAGAAACUAGAGGACAAAGAGCAAGUCUGGUUUAUUUAAAGAUCACGGAGACUUGACCUCCUUUCUGUGUCCACAGGAAAGAGCCAGGAGAAAGGGAGAGUUGAAGAUACAGAAUAGAGUAUAAAUAAAUAAUAAGGAAUUCCUAAGAAGGCAGAAGAAGUGACAUCCUGUGGAUUAAUGUGUCUUGAACAAGAGAAAGGAUACCUCUUCCACUAACCAGAGCCAUGUGAACACAGGUACAUCUAAAGGGGGGAGCAGACUUGAAUUGUUCUAUGAUGUCCUUGAGUCCAGGUCAUCUUCUGAGAGUUGAUAAGGGGAGUGGGGAUGGGACUGAGCUACAAGAACUUGAAAAUAUCCCUUGAAAGGAGAAGAAACCUAGAAAUAGUGGACAAUGGUAGCAUUGCCGUUUGGGGCCCCAUGCUUUGUCAAUGUCUCCCUUUAGUAACGGAGACACCCACAGUGAGCUGCACUAGAUGGGAUCUGACCAGCACAGUGUAAGUAUGUUGGUGUUUGAUCUUACGCCUAUCACCUCAUGGUCCCAAGUUGGUUUUUAAAGUUCCAGACAUCACAUCUAUAUCAUCCAUGUUCAAGAGAGCGAGUGCAGGAGGGAGAGAAGGAGAGAGAAUCUCAAGCAGACUCCACGCUGAGCACAGAGCCCAACAUGGGCUCGAUCCCAUGACUGCAAGAGAUCAUGAGCUGAGUUGGAUGCUCAACUGACUGUGCCACCCAGGUGACCCUGAAAAUUACUUUUUUCAUUCAAAACUAGUUUCUAAUCCACCAAUGUUACUGUGCAUAACUGUAGUCCGUUCAUUAUCAAUUCUGUAUAAUAG
Molecule: long non-coding RNA, 19523 nt
Organism: Mirounga angustirostris (Northern elephant seal)
Lineage: Eukaryota; Metazoa; Chordata; Mammalia; Carnivora; Phocidae
Exons: 3
Source: RefSeq, a predicted model, not a curated record